AGUGAACGCUGGCGGUAGGCCUAACACAUGCAAGUCGAACGGCAGCACAGUAAGAGCUUGCUCUUACGGGUGGCGAGUGGCGGACGGGUGAGGAAUACAUCGGAAUCUACUUUUUCGUGGGGGAUAACGUAGGGAAACUUACGCUAAUACCGCAUACGCCCUACGGGUGAAAGCAGGGGAUCUUCGGACCUUGCGCGAUUGAAUGAGCCGAUGUCGGAUUAGCUAGUUGGCGGGGUAAAGGCCCACCAAGGCGACGAUCCGUAGCUGGUCUGAGAGGAUGAUCAGCCACACUGGAACUGAGACACGGUCCAGACUCCUACGGGAGGCAGCAGUGGGGAAUAUUGGACAAUGGGCGCAAGCCUGAUCCAGCCAUACCGCGUGGGCGAAGAAGGCCUUCGGGUUGUAAAGCCCUUUUGUUGGGAAAGAAAAGCAGCAGGUUAAUACCCCGCUGUUCUGACGGUACCCAAAGAAUAAGCACCGGCUAACUUCGUG
This 492-nucleotide ribosomal RNA is filed under the name uncultured bacterium. RNAcentral describes it as "partial 16S ribosomal RNA". It matches the Rfam family "Bacterial small subunit ribosomal RNA", at positions 29 to 507 of the family's 1533-position model. The record is from RNAcentral.